RNAcentral lists this ribosomal RNA (822 nucleotides) under Salmonella enterica. RNAcentral describes it as "partial 23S ribosomal RNA". It matches the Rfam family "Bacterial large subunit ribosomal RNA", at positions 1981 to 2802 of the family's 2925-position model. The record is from RNAcentral. Lineage: Bacteria; Pseudomonadati; Pseudomonadota; Gammaproteobacteria; Enterobacterales; Enterobacteriaceae.
UUCCGACCUGCACGAAUGGCGUAAUGAUGGCCAGGCUGUCUCCACCCGAGACUCAGUGAAAUUGAACUCGCUGUGAAGAUGCAGUGUACCCGCGGCAAGACGGAAAGACCCCGUGAACCUUUACUAUAGCUUGACACUGAACAUUGAGCCUUGAUGUGUAGGAUAGGUGGGAGGCUUUGAAGUGUGGACGCCAGUCUGCAUGGAGCCGACCUUGAAAUACCACCCUUUAAUGUUUGAUGUUCUAACGUGGACCCGUGAUCCGGGUUGCGGACAGUGUCUGGUGGGUAGUUUGACUGGGGCGGUCUCCUCCUAAAGAGUAACGGAGGAGCACGAAGGUUGGCUAAUCCUGGUCGGACAUCAGGAGGUUAGUGCAAUGGCAUAAGCCAGCUUGACUGCGAGCGUGACGGCGCGAGCAGGUGCGAAAGCAGGUCAUAGUGAUCCGGUGGUUCUGAAUGGAAGGGCCAUCGCUCAACGGAUAAAAGGUACUCCGGGGAUAACAGGCUGAUACCGCCCAAGAGUUCAUAUCGACGGCGGUGUUUGGCACCUCGAUGUCGGCUCAUCACAUCCUGGGGCUGAAGUAGGUCCCAAGGGUAUGGCUGUUCGCCAUUUAAAGUGGUACGCGAGCUGGGUUUAGAACGUCGUGAGACAGUUCGGUCCCUAUCUGCCGUGGGCGCUGGAGAACUGAGGGGGGCUGCUCCUAGUACGAGAGGACCGGAGUGGACGCAUCACUGGUGUUCGGGUUGUCAUGCCAAUGGCACUGCCCGGUAGCUAAAUGCGGAAGAGAUAAGUGCUGAAAGCAUCUAAGCACGAAACUUGCCCCGA